AUCACUUCUUGGCCUUUUGGCUAAGAUCAAGUGUAGCAUCUGUUCUUAUCAGUUUAAAAGAUCUUUGCACUCCUAGGUCAAGCCACACAUUGUCAUCUUGUGUGGUUUUUUUAAAAUAUUUGAUUUAUUUUAGAGAGAGAGAGAGUGCGU
Molecule: small nuclear RNA, 150 nt
Filed under: Ursus thibetanus thibetanus
Lineage: Eukaryota; Metazoa; Chordata; Mammalia; Carnivora; Ursidae
Description: U2 spliceosomal RNA (ENSUTTG00000010167.1)
Rfam family: U2 spliceosomal RNA
About the family: U2 is a small nuclear RNA (snRNA) component of the spliceosome (involved in pre-mRNA splicing). Complementary binding between U2 snRNA (in an area lying towards the 5' end but 3' to hairpin I) and the branchpoint sequence (BPS) of the intron results the bulging out of an unpaired adenosine, on the BPS, which initiates a nucleophilic attack at the intronic 5' splice site, thus starting the first of two transesterification reactions that mediate splicing.
Source: RNAcentral